CACGUAAGUUGCGAGCGUUGUUCGGAAUUAUUGGGCGUAAAGGGCAUGUAGGCGGUCAUGCAAGCUUGGUGUGAAAGGCGGGAGCUCAACUCCCGGACUGCGUUGAGAACUGCAAGACUGGAGUCACUGAGGGGCAAUCAGAAUUCCUGGUGUAGGGGUGAAAUCUGUAGAUAUCAGGAAGAAUACCAAUGGCGAAGGCAGGUUGCCAGCAGAUGACUGACGCUGAGGUGCGAAGGUGCGGGGAGCAAAC
This 250-nucleotide ribosomal RNA is filed under the name uncultured prokaryote. RNAcentral describes it as "partial 16S ribosomal RNA". It matches the Rfam family "Bacterial small subunit ribosomal RNA", at positions 524 to 773 of the family's 1533-position model. The record is from RNAcentral.